RNAcentral lists this ribosomal RNA (301 nucleotides) under uncultured bacterium. Its description in RNAcentral is "partial 16S ribosomal RNA". It matches the Rfam family "Bacterial small subunit ribosomal RNA", at positions 509 to 807 of the family's 1533-position model. The record is from RNAcentral.
CAGCCGCCACGGGAAUACAGAGGGUGCGAGCGUUAAUCGGAUUUACUGGGCGUAAAGCGUGCGUAGGCGGCUUUUUAAGUCGGAUGUGAAAUCCCUGAGCUUAACUUAGGAAUUGCAUUCGAUACUGGGAAGCUAGAGUAUGGGAGAGGAUGGUAGAAUUCCAGGUGUAGCGGUGAAAUGCGUAGAGAUCUGGAGGAAUACCGAUGGCGAAGGCAGCCAUCUGGGCUAAUACUGACGCUGAGGUACGAAAGCAUGGGGAGCAAACAGGAUUAGAUACCCCUGUAGUCCCUGUCUCUUAUAC